This 496-nucleotide ribosomal RNA is filed under the name uncultured bacterium. Its description in RNAcentral is "partial 16S ribosomal RNA". It matches the Rfam family "Bacterial small subunit ribosomal RNA", at positions 30 to 523 of the family's 1533-position model. The record is from RNAcentral.
AUUGAACGCUGGCGGAAUGCUUUACACAUGCAAGUCGAACGGUAGAGGGGGCAACCCCUCGAGAGUGGCGAACGGGUGAGUAAUAUAUCGGAACGUGCCCAGUCGAGGGGGAUAACGUAGUGAAAAUUACGCUAAUACCGCAUACGAUCUAAGGAUGAAAGCGGGGGAUCGCAAGACCUCGCGCGAUUGGAGCGGCCGAUAUCAGAUUAGGUAGUUGGUAGGGUAAAGGCCUACAAAGCCAACGAUCUGUAGCUGGUCUGAGAGGACGACCAGCCACACAGGAACUAAGACACGAUCCAGACUCCUACGGGAGGCAGCAGUGGGGAAUUUUGGACAAUGGGCGAAAGCCUGAUCCAGCCAUUCCGCGAGCAGGAUAAAGGCCCUCGGGUUGUAAACUGCUUUUGUACAGAACAAAAAGGUCACUAUUAAUACUGGGGGCUCAUGACGGUACUGUAAGAAUAAGCACCGGCUAACUACGUGCCAGCCGCCGCCGUAA